AGAGUUUGAUCCUGGCUCAGAACGAACGCUGGCGGCAGGCUUAACACAUGCAAGUCGAACGAGAAGCCGGAGCUUGCUCCGGUGGAAAGUGGCAGACGGGUGAGUAACGCGUGGGAAUUUACCCAGUGGUUCGGAAUAACGCAUGGAAACGUGUGCUAAUACCGGAUACGCCCUUCGGGGGAAAGAUUUAUCGCCAUUGGAUGAGCCCGCGUCGGAUUAGCUUGUUGGUGAGGUAAAAGCUCACCAAGGCGACGAUCCGUAGCUGGUCUGAGAGGAUGAUCAGCCACACUGGGACUGAGACACGGCCCAGACUCCUACGGGAGGCAGCAGUGGGGAAUAUUGCGCAAUGGAGGAAACUCUGACGCAGCCAUGCCGCGUGAGUGAAGAAGGCCUUAGGGUUGUAAAACUCUUUCGCUAGGGAAGAUAAUGACGGUACCUAGUAAAGAAGCCCCGGCCAACUCCGUGCCAGCAGCCGCGGUAAUACGGAGGGGGCUAGCGUUGUUCGGAUUUACUGGGCGUAAAGCGCGCGUAGGCGGGCUGGUUAGUUGGGGGUGAAAUCCCAGGGCUUAACCCUGGAACUGCCCUCAAUACUGCCAGUCUUGAGUUCGAGAGAGGUAAGUGGAAUUCCUAGUGUAGAGGUGAAAUUCGUAGAUAUUAGGAAGAACACCAGUGGCGAAGGCGGCUUACUGGCUCGAUACU
This 699-nucleotide ribosomal RNA is filed under the name uncultured bacterium. RNAcentral describes it as "bacterial SSU rRNA". It matches the Rfam family "Bacterial small subunit ribosomal RNA", at positions 8 to 741 of the family's 1533-position model. The record is from RNAcentral.